AGAUACCCUGGUAGUCCACGCCGUAAACGGUGGGUGCUAGGUGUGGGUUUCCUUCCACGGGAUCCGUGCCGUAGCUAACGCAUUAAGUCCCCCGCCUGGGGAGUACGGCCGCAAGGCUAAAACUCAAAGGAAUUGACGGGGGCCCGCACAAGCGGCGGAGCAUGUGGAUUAAUUCGAUGCAACGCGAAGAACCUUACCCGGGUUUGACAUACACCAGAAAGCUGUAGAGAUGUAGCCCCCCUUUGUGGUUGGUGUACAGGUGGUGCAUGGCUGUUGUCAGCUCGUGUCGUGAGAUGUUGGGUUAAGUCCCGCAACGAGCGCAACCCUUGUCCUGUGUUGCCAGCGCGUUAUGGCGGGGACUCGCAGGAGACUGCCGGGGUCAACUCGGAGGAAGGUGGGGAGGACGUCAAGUCAUCAUGCCCCUUAUGUCCAGGGCUUCACACCUGCUACAAUGGCCGGUACAGAGGGCUGCGAUACCGUGAGGUGGAGCGAAUCCCUUAAAGCCGGUUUCAGUUCGGAUCGGGGUCUGCAACUCGA
This 537-nucleotide ribosomal RNA is filed under the name Nocardia sp. Cgi1. RNAcentral's name for it is "bacterial SSU rRNA". It matches the Rfam family "Bacterial small subunit ribosomal RNA", at positions 780 to 1315 of the family's 1533-position model. The record is from RNAcentral. Lineage: Bacteria; Bacillati; Actinomycetota; Actinomycetes; Mycobacteriales; Nocardiaceae.